Molecule: long non-coding RNA, 745 nt
Filed under: Vulpes vulpes (red fox)
Lineage: Eukaryota; Metazoa; Chordata; Mammalia; Carnivora; Canidae
Description: lncRNA (ENSVVUG00000010331.1)
Source: RNAcentral
CUGGUGCAAAGGUGAGCAUGAGCUGUGCCUGCACUAGAGAAGACUUAGGGGAGCCUGCUCAACUUGGUUGUUUUCAGCUGGAAUUUUUGUCACUUCUUUGUAGAGUUAUAGGCAAUUGAACUUCUUCUUUGAUGACACUCAGAACUCCACCUACCCUGGAACUGAGCCAGAUCCACUCUUCAGACAACUUGUGGGAAAUCUAAUUAUAAUUACAAAUGAAAUCUUAAUAUUAUAAAAAUAUCUUAAGCUUCCACAGCCAAGCAAGACAAAAUAAGAAAGACCAAACUUAACUUCCCUCCAUGAGUAACUAAGAAACUGCAUGAAGUAUGUGCAACAACUGUUUUCAGACAUUGGACAACAGCCAGCUCAGGACUCUGAUCCCUGAGAGUAGAUAAACAAAGUAAGCCCUACAUUUGUCCAUAUUUCUUCUUGGAAGCAGUUUCCCAAACACAGGUGUGAGUAGAGGAACUCCAGAUAGGACCCAGUGCCCCACUGAGAUGAGGAGAUGGAAAUCAGAGUUCGAAGUGGCUGAAGCAGCUGGAGGUUGAAGGGUUGAACCCUGAGAAACCAGACUUCUUCCAUCUUGCAACAUAGCCAUCUUCAACAUGAAACCUCAGUGACCCACACAUGAGUCAUUCCUUUGAAGGACUACAAGGUUCAGAGUCUCUACCAGUGGCCCCUGCCCUCUGAGUAAAUAAUAUUGAUUAUAAUAACUGUAAGCAAUAAACUCUCAUGUUUUAAGCCA